Molecule: ribosomal RNA, 737 nt
Filed under: uncultured bacterium
Lineage: Bacteria
Description: bacterial SSU rRNA
Rfam family: Bacterial small subunit ribosomal RNA
Source: RNAcentral
AGAGUUUGAUCAUGGCUCAGGACGAACGCUGGCGGCGUGCCUAAUACAUGCAAGUCGAGCGGGCCAGAACGAAGGGCAACCGGAGUUCUGGUUUAGCGGCGCACGGGUGAGUAACGCGUAGGUAAUCUACUCCGAAGACCGGGAUAACACCUCGAAAGGGGUGCUAAUACUGGAUACGCUCUUUCUCUCGACGGAGGGGAAGAGGAAAGGUGGCGUAAGGCGCAAGCCUGCUACCACUUCGGAAUGAGCCUGCGUCCUAUUAGCUAGUUGGUAGGGUAAUGGCCUACCAAGGCUAUGAUGGGUAGCUGGUCUGAGAGGACGGUCAGCCACACUGGGACUGAGACACGGCCCAGACUCCUACGGGAGGCAGCAGUAGGGAAUAUUGGGCAAUGGGCGAAAGCCUGACCCAGCGACGCCGCGUGGGCGAUGAAGGUCUUUGGAUUGUAAAGCCCUUUUCAGGGAGACGAAGGGAUCGUCGGGAAAUACCUGAUGAUCUUUGACGGUAUCCCUGGAAUAAGCCCCGGCUAACUACGUGCCAGCAGCCGCGGUAAUACGUAGGGGGCAAGCGUUGUCCGGAAUUACUGGGUGUAAAGGGCGUGUAGGCGACCCCUUCAGUUGAAUGUGAAAUCUCCCGGCUCAACUGGGAGGAGUCAUUCAAUACUGAGGGGAUAUGAGGACAGAAGAGGGAAGUGGAAUUCCCGGUGUAGCGGUAAAAUGCGUAGAUAUCGGGAGGAACA